AGGAAAGAGAAGUUGCAGACUGUGGGUACUGUGUUGCCCAAGACGUUAUCAUUGCUUCCCUCAAACUCUUUGUGCAUACUCCCAUGGAAAGUGAGGGAAAGGAAGCCCAAAGUCUGGAGUAGUGAGCGACAGCAACUUCCAGAGGAAGAGGAGAGCAAGGCACUGCAGAGAUUGGAAAUCUGAAAAAAAAAUAAAGUGGUAGAAAUACUCAUUAGGUCUGGCAGCAUCAGUGGAGCAAAAAACAGAGUUAACACGCUGAACGUUUCACCGAAUUCUGAUGACUCUUGAACCCUUUAAAAAUAGCAGGCUGCCUCUAGGACGCAGUGCAAAGAUGUGUCCUCAACCGAGUGUUGCAGACUGGUACAUUCCAAGUGCUGAAGGAUGCACUAAAGCUUGGGGAAAUGCCGCAGAGGCACAAUGGGGAAAGGUUGUCAUCCAAAGCCUUUCAGCCAUAGUGCACCAGGGACUGGAAACUGUGUGGAACCCCUCAGGCUGACGGGGAAUGAAUAUUGUGAAUAUCAAGAGUAUUGAAAUUGUAUUGAGGCACCUCAAGAGUGGAACGUGCUGUAUGGAGACAGGUGGAAUUUUAUUGUGCUUCCUGUAAUUUUCAAUUUGAAUCUUUCAUAAUGUACUCUUAUACAUUUUAUGAAUAAAAUAUAUUUUUAGGGAAAAAA
Molecule: long non-coding RNA, 674 nt
Organism: Carcharodon carcharias (great white shark)
Lineage: Eukaryota; Metazoa; Chordata; Chondrichthyes; Lamniformes; Lamnidae
Exons: 3
Source: RefSeq, a predicted model, not a curated record